This 253-nucleotide ribosomal RNA is filed under the name uncultured bacterium. RNAcentral describes it as "partial 16S ribosomal RNA". It matches the Rfam family "Bacterial small subunit ribosomal RNA", at positions 524 to 776 of the family's 1533-position model. The record is from RNAcentral.
GACGAACCGUGCGAACGUUAUUCGGAAUCACUGGGCUUAAAGGGUGCGUAGGCGGCCUAUUAAGUCAGGGGUGAAAGACGGUAGCUUAACUAUCGCAGUGCCUUUGAUACUGAUGGGCUUGAAUGAACUAGAGGUAGGCGGAAUGUGACAAGUAGCGGUGAAAUGCAUAGAUAUGUCACAGAACACCAAUUGCGAAGGCAGCUUACUAUGGUUUUAUUGACGCUGAGGCACGAAAGCGUGGGGAUCAAACAGG